Molecule: non-coding RNA, 1560 nt
Organism: Phalacrocorax carbo (great cormorant)
Lineage: Eukaryota; Metazoa; Chordata; Aves; Suliformes; Phalacrocoracidae
Source: RefSeq, a predicted model, not a curated record
UGCCGCCGCGGACACACCGGCUGGCGAGGAGAGGGAGGAGAAUAAGCGCGGCUCCCGAGGCUGCCUGGGGAAGGGAGGCUGCGGGGUGUGGACUAAACCACUGCGCUCCACACCCACACGUCCCUCUCCUCCCGGGGUAGGGAGAUGGGGACGGCGAUAUGAGAAGGCAGCCAGAGGGCUGGAAAUCAGGCUUGCUGCAGGCAGUGCCCCCCCCGCCUCCCCUCUACAGUUGGGUACACUUGGGAGUGAAACCCUUGAAAGGAUCUUCCCUAGAGAUUUCUCUGCUGAAUCGCUCUGUGGAAAAGGAAAGGUGGCAAAUAAAAUAAAAUAAAAUAAAAUGGAUCACUCGUGACCUACGAAGUCUGUAGCACUGGCGGGCUUAUUCAGCCGAAAACGGGGAAGAAGCAACCUUCCCGCGCCCCUCCCCUGCCCCCGCUCCCGCCGUCCCCCAGGACCUCGGCCGCCGCGCAGCUCCCUUCAGCGGGAAAGUUUGGCGGAGCCGGCCGCCACCCGCGGCGGCUGGUGGAGGGAGGGAGACGAGAGGAGGGGCCGCGACACCCCCAAGGAACACGGGAGAACAGCCCCUCUCCCCUACACGCACAACAGAGGCUGUCAAACGGCAGAGUAAACCCCACUCAAAGCCACCACAGGAAAAGAGCUGGGAACACGAAGGAAGGAGCAACGUGAGCGAAAACGGAAUUUAGAAGUGGCCGGUGCCAGGACAGGGCCUUGGGGACGGACACACCAGGCAGAGGCACCCCGGGCACCGGGCGGGUGGGCGGGCGGUGAGAGGCCAGCGGCGGCCCCGAGGUAACGGUCAGGCCGGCCGUUGCCGCCGCGCGCCGUCCGCGGGCCAGCGGGAGCGCCGCACGGUGAAGCUCGAGCGCCCCCUACUGGCAAAGAGCGAGCAGCGGCCACCACCUCCCGCCCGGCGUCGCCUUUUGUUGCGGCGGAGCGCGGCGGGGGGGCCGGAGGGGGAGCUCCCGCCGGCCGCGGCGGCGAGUGCCCGGGUACUCCGGCGGCCCCGGGGAGCCUCCUGUCGGGCGGGCCUCGUGGAAAGCGCGGGUGUUGUGACAGGAAUGACUGAAAUUAAGGCGCUGCCGAAGACCAAGAAGCUGUUGCAGUAGAGGAUACGUCUUUUCUCCACCAGAGAACCCGAAACAAGUAGUGCUAUACGUAACUUUUUCAAACAAACCUGUUCAAAUACGCUGGUAGCAUAUUCAGCUAGCUUGUAUUUUCAGUUUGUAGAGGGACAUUGAAGUCAAGGAUCAUUUUAACACAACAGCGUUAGAGAAAAACGAGCUGGUGAAUAAGAGUGCGGGAGCCGUGCUUUGGUGCACUACGACGGGCAAGGCUGUCUAAAGAGAAGGGACUCACCUACUUACACGUUAACCAACUAGUCCCAACUAUUCUUCUCUCAUCAAGUCUCUUUGUUGCUUUUUUAUUUUGCAUAUAGUAGACGUUUAUUCUUUUAAUAAGUUCUUCACAUUAAGGAUCUGAACUGUAUUUCUGCAAAAUGUACGCUGUCCACACAUAGUCCAAUAAAUGGUCUGCAAGAUA